Molecule: long non-coding RNA, 235 nt
Filed under: Salvia miltiorrhiza (redroot sage)
Lineage: Eukaryota; Viridiplantae; Streptophyta; Magnoliopsida; Lamiales; Lamiaceae
Description: long non-coding RNA (SMIL_LNC004216)
Source: RNAcentral
UUUUUUUUCAGUCUAUUCCUUUUCUUAUUUUCUUGUUUUUUGUUUUAUUUCUUUCUAAAGAUGUGAAAUUCAACAAAUUAUAAAAUAUUUAAUAUUCAUAUCAAAUUAAAGAUAGUUACGAGGUUUAAUUUGAGAUAUUUGAUUUAAAAUGUAAAAGUUUUAUUUAUUUAAAGAUUAAAAUAUUAAAAAAAAUCCUCCCUCCUCUAUCAUCUUUUUUAAAAAAUUCUUUUUUUUU